UACGUAGGGUCCGAGCGUUGUCCGGAAUUACUGGGCGUAAAGAGCUCGUAGGUGGUUUGUCGCGUUGUUCGUGAAAACUCACAGCUUAACUGUGGGCGUGCGGGCGAUACGGGCAGACUUGAGUACUGCAGGGGGAGACUGGAAUUCCUGGUGUAGCGGUGGAAUGCGCAGAUAUCAGGAGGAACACCGGUGGCGAAGGCGGGUCUCUGGGCAGUAACUGACGCUGAGGAGCGAAAGCGUGGGGAGCGAACAGG
Molecule: ribosomal RNA, 254 nt
Filed under: uncultured bacterium
Lineage: Bacteria
Description: partial 16S ribosomal RNA
Rfam family: Bacterial small subunit ribosomal RNA
Source: RNAcentral